Molecule: long non-coding RNA, 2980 nt
Organism: Poeciliopsis prolifica (blackstripe livebearer)
Lineage: Eukaryota; Metazoa; Chordata; Actinopteri; Cyprinodontiformes; Poeciliidae
Exons: 2
Source: RefSeq, a predicted model, not a curated record
GCAUCCAAACCAGAAACAAAGCACACAUGGCGGCCGCAACAACGCCUCUGACCUCCAGAGGGCAGAGGUCGUCUGGACGUUCAGAGGUCGUCUGGACGUUCAGAGGUCGUCUGUGACCUUCAAAGGUCGUCUGGACGUUCAGAGGUCGUCUGGACGUUCAGAGGUCGUCUGUGACCUUCAGAGGUCGUUUGGACGGUCACACGCUCCGUGGAGACGGGGAUGUUCUUGGAAAAACGUGCGUGUUUGUGUUUUUCUGCGAUUUCGUCUGUCUGGUGGGGUUUGUUCCUCAUGCAGUUGGUGGUUUUUAUCGUUCUGUAAAAUUUGAUCCGUUUCGUCAUGGAGGUGUCGUCUGACUCUUUGUUCACUUUUCAGGAGAAAACUGAAAGUUACUGACUGAUAAAAGCAAUGUACAGAUUUUAUUCAACGUUCCCGGGAACGCUGGGUUUAUCCAAAAGUUGUCAUGUGAUUUAUUUAAUAGCCAUAGCCUAAAGGUCAGGGGUCAGCAUGUGUGGAUGUCUGUUGUCAGGCUGCAUUUCAAUGUAAACCUUGAUGAUAAACGGAGAGCAGAAGAAACCAGCUGGGAUAUUUCUGAAGCUUCUUAGUUUUUCAUGUUUAUUUCUUUGGGAUUUUUGAUUUCUUUUAAUCUGAGAUUAAAAACACACACAGGCUCUUGAUUGGUCCAGUUUCUGACCCGGUUCUGGUGUUUUAAAACUGGACAAAUGAGAAACGUCCUGCUUCAUUAAAGCCUCAUGAGGGAUGUGCAGCAGAUAGGAUCCAACAGAGACAUCCUGCUCAUCCUGUGUCUCUGACGUCCAACAGAAACUCAUUCCCCUGUCAGUCAGGACAGCUGCUGACCUUCCCAGUAAGGUCAUCCUGAAAUCGGACGAUAAAUGUGCAAACCACAAAAAACCCGUCUGAGGUUCUGCUCAGCCAAUCAGAGAAAACAUUUGGGCCAAUCGGAGGGUCUUGAUGGACACAUCCUACCGACUGUCAAGCACGGUGGUGGAGGAAUGAUGCUCUGGGUACCAAACACAAAGGUUUCUUUGUUCUGAUGCUAAAACCAGAGGAACUGAAACAGAACAUUACUUUUUCAACAAAGCUUCAGCUCUUGCAUUUUCUGGGGAAACUAACCUCAAAUCAACUUUUAUUUUUUUUCCCUCAACUGGUCCUGAAAGUUUUUUAUAUUUGGGUGUCUAAAUUUUUUUGAUUUGCCAAGAGUAAGAAAUGAAUUCAGUUCUGAUGACCUUUUUAUGUCAAAAGGUCCUGAACCCUGAAUAAAUAAUUGCAUGUAAAGCCGUGUGGCUGAUAGAAGCUCUGACCCACUAAUGAGCCGUGAUGCAUUAUGUUGCUGCAUUAGGCUAACAACUCCUGCAGGGUCCCUGAACGCAUCGUUCCUGAACGCAUCAUUCCUGAACGCGUCGUUCCUGAACGCAUUGUCCCUGAACGCAUCGUUCCUGAACGCAUCGUUCCUGAAUGCAUCAUUCCUGAACGCAUCGUCCCUGAACGCAUCGUUCCUGAACGCGUCGUUCCUGAACGCGUCGUUUCUGAAACGCUUCCACCUUUUGAUGCAGCUGAAGUUAGUCAUGUAUCUGAAUGUCUGACCUCAGUAAACAUCCCCAGGAAUUAACUUCACUGGUUCACACAACCUUCAAUAUAUUGAAAACUUCAUCUGACCUUUGACCCCAGUCUUGUCUUAGAUUGGUUAUUCUGGGCUGAGUCAACACUUCAGCUGCAGAAAAACGUUCAGGGAAUUUUUCUGGAGUCAGAUUAACGUUUGACUGCAGUUGAUCUUGAUGUCAGAAAGUUGCGGUUUUAGAUGCGACAGCAGGAAAAGCUGCUCCUGAACCGGCCUUUCAGCGAGCCAAAGACUGUCAACACCUUUCUUCACCUAAUUUAAAAGUCUAAAUGUUUCAGCUGCUUGACAUUUGCUUGGCUUCAGCUUAGUUUGCUCUCUUACUGCAGAAUAUAAAAGAUAAUAAUCAUAAAGUCCCACAGCAGCUGCAGCAGCUGCAGCAGCAGCUGCAGCAGCACCUUGCUAAACGUCUCACACCCCUGAACAGUUUCACAUUUUAGCUUCUUCAUGUUUUACUGGGACUUUAUGAAAACAAAGUAGUCCAAAUUUUCAAGGAAGAUUUUAUGUUUUUCUCAUUGACUUAGAUCUGAAAAGUGUGGCAUGCCAGUGUAAAGAGCACCAGUGAGUGCAGGUGAAGCUCAGGUUUUCUUCCUGUUUUAGCUCCAUCUGUCCUCACAGCAUGAUGCUGCCACCACCAUGCCAACCACAGGCGACAUGAGGAAUGCUAGUUUUUCCCACACAUGAAGCGUAAAAUGUUGACAAAAGGAGUUUCUUCUUUGUCUGCUUUCCUUACCUGGCAAAUAAUGGUUGACAUGGCAACUUCUCCCAGUGCUGCACUACUUUCUGCUGGCCAUGAAAUCCUGAAACGCCGCCUGAGGUCUGUGGGAACAUAAUGUGACAGUCAGGAGGUGUGAGAACUUUUUGCAGAGCUUUGUGAAUAAACGCAUGAUUUCUGUUGCACUUCAUCUCUGUAAGCUUUUUCUCAUUUUUAUGAUGUUUAAAACCCAGAAAUAAUUUCAUUUUUUUCCCCUUUUUGUCAUUGAACGUUUUGUUAAAGAUGAAGGAAGAAAAUCUGUUGUAUUCUGAAGGAACGACCAAUAAGCUCCAUCUGCAGGUACAACAAGUUUAUCAGACAUUCUGCAGCUGCUGGCCGUGAAUCUGCACUUUAGCACAAACGAUGACGGAUGUUCAGCUGUAAAGUUUUAGCUCAGUGGGUCGGAUUGUGUAACAUAUGAAUGCAGCAAAACUACAAGAAAUUUUCUAUUAUCCUGCACAUAUAUGCUAAUAAACAUGGAUUAGGGAAUAUUUGUACACACUAUAUCUAAAGAUCUUAAAUGUUAAUAUAUUUCAGAGUAUGUGUAUGCUAAUAUGUGGUUAAUAUGAAUAAAUCGUUUUUUCACUUGAGAA